Molecule: ribosomal RNA, 494 nt
Filed under: uncultured bacterium
Lineage: Bacteria
Description: partial 16S ribosomal RNA
Rfam family: Bacterial small subunit ribosomal RNA
Source: RNAcentral
GACGAACGCUGGCGGCGCGCUUAACACAUGCAAGUCGAACGGAAAGGCCUGCUUUCCCUUGUGGAUUGCGGGUACUCGAGUGGCGAACGGGUGAGUAACACGUGAGUGAUCUGCCCCCAACUUGGGUAUAAGCCUGGGAAACUGGGUCUAAUUCCCGAUAGGACUGCAGGGUGGUUCCUGUGGUGGAAAACGAUUUUCUAGUGGUUGGGGAUGAGCUCGCGGCCUAUCAGCUUGUUGGUGGGGUAAUGGCCUACCAAGUCGGCGACGGGUAGCCGGCCUGAGAGGGUGGACGGGCACAGUGGGACUGAGAUACGGCCCAGACUCCUACGGGAGGCAGCAGUGGGGAAUAUUGCACAAUGGGCGGAAGCCUGAUGCAGCGACGCCGCGUAGGGGAUGACGGCCUUCGGGUUGUAAACUCCUUUCGACCGCGAGGAAGCCACCUGGUUGGAAGGGUGGUGACGGUAGUGGUAGAAGAAGCACCGGCUAACUACGUG